UCUUAAGCUUUUCAGAGGAAUUUGCUCUUUAAUGGAUAAAACACCUUAACCUUACUUGGUCUAGUAAAAUUCAGUUUGUAUACCACUAUAAAAAUAAUAAUUUACUUUUAUUAUUAAAAUUCUUUUUUUUAGAUAAAAAUUAAGUCAAGGUGCAGCUUAAGGCUAAGAAUGAAGUGAAUUACAUUUCUUAAAAGAAAAGAAAAGUGAAACAAAAUAUUAGGAUUUGAUAGUAAAAUUAAAAUAAAAAGUUAAUUUGAAUUAAGCUCUAAGAUAU
RNAcentral lists this ribosomal RNA (274 nucleotides) under Hyalomma asiaticum. RNAcentral describes it as "partial small subunit ribosomal RNA". The record is from RNAcentral. Lineage: Eukaryota; Metazoa; Arthropoda; Arachnida; Ixodida; Ixodidae.